GUCCAGACUCCUACGGGAGGCAGCAGUGGGGAAUAUUGCACAAUGGGGGAAACCCUGAUGCAGCGACGCCGCGUGAGUGAAGAAGUAUUUCGGUAUGUAAAGCUCUAUCAGCAGGAAGGAAAAUGACGGUACCUGACUAAGAAGCCCCGGCUAACUACGUGCCAGCAGCCGCGGUAAUACGUAGGGGGCAAGCGUUGUCCGGAUUUACUGGGUGUAAAGGGAGCGUAGACGGUGAAGCAAGUCUGAAGUGAAAGGCGGGGGCUCAACCCCCGGACUGCUUUGGAAACUGUUUGACUGGAGUGCAGGAGAGGUAAGUGGAAUUCCUAGUGUAGCGGUGAAAUGCGUAGAUAUUAGGAGGAACACCAGUGGCGAAGGCGGCUUACUGGACUGUAACUGACGUUGAGGCUCGAAAGCGUGGGGAGCAAACAGGAUUAGAUACCCGGGUA
This 446-nucleotide ribosomal RNA is filed under the name uncultured bacterium. RNAcentral describes it as "bacterial SSU rRNA". It matches the Rfam family "Bacterial small subunit ribosomal RNA", at positions 329 to 792 of the family's 1533-position model. The record is from RNAcentral.